This 5033-nucleotide long non-coding RNA is filed under the name Musa acuminata (dwarf banana). RNAcentral's name for it is "long non-coding RNA (MACU_LNC009853)". The record is from RNAcentral. Lineage: Eukaryota; Viridiplantae; Streptophyta; Magnoliopsida; Zingiberales; Musaceae.
AGCGGUAGUGGUCUCGAUGACACGGCACAAACAAGAAACUAGUAAACUACUGAUCUUUGGAAUCUGAUAAUGAUCCUUGCUGCUGACUCGCUAUAUGAUUCAACACACUGCUUUGGCUUCCUUUCUUUCUUUCCCUAGCUACUUUCCUAGACUUAACGAGCACUGACACUAGAGCACUUAAACAAAACUUGGAAGAAUUGAUCUGGUCUAAGCAGACUACUUAUUAGGUCUAGGACAACUGGGAUUCUAGCCGGUAGUAGCUUGUCUCUUCCUUUUUGGUUGCAUUCUUUCAUUUUUCCGUUUUCUUCUUAUUAGUACUCGUUUCAUUCUUCCUUUUUUCAUCAAGGUUCAAUUCAGAGUUUCUUGUUCAAUUAUUACACGGAGCACCCGGCACUAGAUCGUGCACCCCCUAUUCUUAUUAGAUACUUUACUCUAACUGGAACUGGCAAUUCCACACUUCACCCAUUCUUAAAGGAAGGAAAGGAGCACUAGGUUUGCUCUGAGUGGGCCAAUUCUGACUUCCGAGUUUUCUUCUGACUUUCUUUUGAGUUUCACUAGGUUUACGAGAAAGAGCUAUAGGGUGGUUAGUGACUUCUUUUCUUCUAUUUAUCAGAAAGGGAUAUGACUGAAUGAACACUUAUAACUAAUACUAAUCAUAAGGGAGCAAUUCCAGUUUCCUUUUUUGGUAAACUGGGCUCCUCCUCUUAUAGGGAAAGCUGUUGUCAGUCAAUCAGGCAAAGGUAAAGCCAAGCACGCAAAGUCCAAGGACAAGUCCUGUUUCUUACAGUCAGCAGUGAAGAAGCUAGGGCAAAAGAUCUAGUUUUGGAGUGAAGUGAGCGGUGAGGAAUUUCUAGUGUGAGUUUAGCAAGUGAAGGUUCCUUUAUUCGUCAGAGUUUUGAGUUUAGCAAGUUAGGUUCCUUUAUUCGUCAGAGUUUUGAGUUUAGCAAGUUAUAGGUUCCUUUAUUCUAUAUUGAUGAUCGCCCAUAUUCCAUAUUCUUCUAGAUAUAUUCCAUUUGAUACUGAGAUAAGUCUUUUCAACAAGCAAGCAAAGGGUAGUGUUCCAGCCAAGGGGAAUAAACCAAGUAAAGGAAGAAACUAGUGCCCAAAGAGAGUAGUGGGUGUUAGGUUCCCGCACUCCCAGUUUAGAGUAAGCAGUCUGGUUCCGCACACGUAGCUUGUUCCCCGAGAGUUAUAUGUGAGUAAGCAGUUAGGUUACCCCUAAUUAUAUCAUGUGAACACUAUAUUCAACGAUUUCUUCUAUUUGAUCAAUUAUAUUAUUUCGAGAUAUAGAUUAUUUGAAAUGGAAUUCCAUAAGUGAGCGCACUAAUUAGCUAGUUUAGGAGUAAUGAGAACGAAGGUCUUUCGAAAGUAAAGGUACCGCUAACUCUUUCACUAUAGGAAGCAAAAGGGAUGCUAUUUGUUGAAUCAAAUCCAUACUAUGCACACGCUAAAUAACUAUGAAUGGAACAAGCAAUGCAAGGGGGAACUAAAGGGUAGAAACAAACAACAAACAAUGCAAGGUCGAACUCAAUAGGUUAAACGACUCUAACUCUUUCUGGCUUCUUCAGCCUUUCCCCGGCUUUAGUUAGCUUUGGAGUAAUAAGUGAGUUUCCAGUGUUGUUACAAUAUGAUUAAGUUAAGCAUCAUACGUGCACUCAAUUAAAAGAACUCGCUUCCGCCCACAAUGACACUCGAACAGAACUAUAACUCGUUGUAAACUCUACUACUUUGAGCUACUGCACCGACACAAGAACAGAAAGAUGAUGCAACACCUGCUUUGCUUACACCUUUUCCCUUACCGAUCCGUGAACCCCUAUUCCUCUACACCCCUAUUCCUCUCCGUGUAGUAAAUCUCUAUUCUUUUUCACUAUGCCUAUGUUCUUUAGUGCAACAACGUCUGCCCUAUCUUUGUCCUUUAAUCAGGUGUGCAGCCUAUGUUCUUUAGUGCAACGUCUGCCCCCUCUGUCCUUUAAUCAGGUGUCUUGCCUCUGCCUCAAAGUCCUGAGGAAGCAGUGUUGUUACUCAAUUCGUGAAGAAAGCAAUGCCCCGUGUUCUUUAAUCUCUUCUAUCAUAUGUUGGAUAUAGAUAUUAUUUUCCGUAUUGGCAAAAGAACAAGCAAGCAAUGUUUUCGCUUAAGUUAGUUUCGCUGUUUGGAAGGAAGGAGGUUACUCUCUUAUGGAAGUAGUGGUGACUUACAUGACUAUUGAAUUGGCAUAGAUUUCGGAGAUGAGAUCCUAUAUAGAAAUCCUUAUAAUGUAUUAUAGAGAUAGAGCAGUCAAACAAAGACACAGGAGAAUAAGAAUAACAGACUCGCGAAGGUAUGUAUGUAGACCUUUAAUCCAGACGAUAGGGGUAGCAAAUUAGAGAGAUUAGCUAGGAGCAACUUUCACCCAUGCUAAACUACUUGAAAUCCCCCUUCUUCAGCCUUAACCAAACAAGAAGCAAGGGAUACUUUAAAGGAAUCAAAGAAUAAUAUGGGAAUUGAAACCCAUCUUCUAUAAUAGAUAGAUUGGUAAGCAUAAUAUAUAGAUUAGUAAGUCAUUUCAUAUACUCUACAUAACAUAAGUAAUUAAGCAAAGCAGACUCUACAUAAGUGAUGAAACCUAAGAGGAGAAUAAAUGACUGGACUGGGGAAGAUAUAUCCUUGUGGAGAGCUACUUCCCUCAGACAUUCAGCAACAACCUAGACUUUACUAGCCUAGCUACCUUGCUUAAAGGAUCGGAACCUCCCAAACACUGCUUACAACUUAUUGAUGAAACAUGGUGACCUUGACGGGGCUCUGUAUACACAUAUGUUAAAAGAAGAGAGGAACCAUAAGUUUACUGUACAAAACCAUGAAGAAUGCUUUGGUGCAAAUAAGAGGUCAGCUGCCUAAUCACUCGCUAACGCGCCUGUAUCCUCAUACUCACUGACACUAAACUUCAAUGCUUGUACCCCGCCCCGGACUAACGCCCAAUCAAAUUAGGACUUGCUUUGCCAAAGACAUAAAGUGAGCGAUUUCUCCAAAGGGUAAUGUUGCUCCAAUACCUAACCAAAGGGCUACAGCGGUUCUUAACUUCAAGAAUAGGUUGGCAAAAGAGAAGCUCAUAUAGGAAAAGGAGAAGCUCAUAGAGUUUUGUAUAGAACUAAGUGAAGUAACCAACUAUAGCAUUCAAGUCAGGAACAGGAUAAGAAGUCGUGUAGUAUCUCGGUGUUGGCGAUGAGAGAAUGAGAGGUGUGGUUGGCAAUUCAUGAAGUUACGCUAAGUAAGAAACAAGUAACGCAAGGGAGGAUCCCAGUGGUAGAGAACAGAACCAUCGCUCCGGUAAGAUGUUAUUUAUACAAAAAUAUGCAUUUCAAACAAGGGCCCACGUAGAAGUGUUUAUAAGGGUUAGUUAACAGGCGUGAAACGCGGCUCAGGUCUCAGUGUUUGGAGUGAGAGUUCAAGCAAGAUUAAGGUCACAGAAUCAAUGACUUUCGAGUUGCUAAAACAGGACUUGCAUCUUGCCACCGUUGUUGGAACUCUAUCACUGGUUCUUGCGCUGGUGCUUGUUAGACUUGCAUCUUGUUCUGUUGUUUCAUGUUAUGUUCCAAAGCAGCUUACUAAUGCCGUAGCUACACUUGCUUACAGAGUUUACCACGAUAGAUUAAUUUCUUCAACAAUUACUGGAUGAUAUGCUUGUUAUCAGAGAUCCAAUCUUACUUAUCAAAUCUCUACGAAGACGGACGAAAUCAGAGAAAAGGAGAAAGAGAGGCAGUUGUUACAUUCGUUGGCCCGGAACUAGGUAAAGCUCUAUAAUUGUAAGCGCAGGAAGCACAAAGAAGGCUCGUGUAAGCUUGGGUUAGCUAGAAGUUAUGUAACGAGGCCCUGAUCGCUUACCGUGUGAGCGCCCGGGAGAAAUGGGUCGGGUGAACCCUAGCCUAACCAAAUGGCUAUUUGAGGGGUGUGCAAGGAAGUAUUUAAGUAAGUUCCUCGAGCUACUAACAAGUCCGUCCUAUAAAGAAGGGGUCAGAACAAGAAGGGUCGGUAGUUAGCAGCGCAGCAACCAAUCCACCUAAGGGAAUCAAUCAAUCCCAGAGCCUCGGUGAUUCGCGACGAAGAUAAUAUUGGAUCAUGCGCACCAACCCAAGGGAUUCUAGCAGCUAAGUGGAUCGAGCCAUUACUUUGAUGCUCUACCCACUAGCCCUAAACAACGGCCAAGUUUCACUGGGACUCAAGAGGGUGCAUGAAGCAGCUCCGGAUGACUUAGCUCGAGAAAUCCAAUUUGAAAGAAAGGGGAGCUGGACUCCCCGAACAUUAUAAGAAAGAUUUCACCGGCCUUCUUCUUUUUUACCAAAUCCAAUCCAGUCCUAUCGCAGUUCGUUGGGAAAGAAACGAUUUAUUAGCUAUCCUCCUGACCUGAGGCGAAUCGACCCGGAUGGGAUGGAAACUCGCCUAUAAGCGGGAGUGCUCACUAUCAAGUCUUGAUUGAUCGAGACAAAGCCAAAGAUAUGGUGGUACUCAACUCUAGGGAGCUACUGGCUAUGUGGGAGAAAUAUGACAUCCUGCUUGGGGAGCCAGGUGCCAAAGGCUUUGUUCGGUAUGGAAGAGGCAACUGCUUUGUACGUUUAUUGUGAACUCGCCGGCAAAGCAAGGUACUCGUAAGGUCGCUGCGUCUACUCGAUCGAACAGGCUGAGGAAAAUCCAAAUAACUCACCAAGGUGAUAGGAAUGAAUGCUCUUUCAAGGUGAUAGGAAUGAAUGCUCUUUAGAAACGGAUGGUGUUUGAUCCUUUCUUUUAUGAUCUAUGGGGGCUCUAUAUUCUGUAAAGUGCUCCAAUCCAAUACAAGGCGCAUGCAUUGCUGCAGCAACAAGGAAAAAAACGAACCGUGCUAUAAUCUUAGCAACUGGGCUAUACCUACUAAUUAUGACCUAUUCCAUGCAUUCGUCGCAUAAAAAAGUGCUUCAAGUGGAUCGAGUCAGUCGAAGUCAUCAUAAGCAGUACAACCAUCUUGGUAAAGUGGAUUUCUAGAGUUAUUUAUAUAUAGUUGUAUUUCUCAAGUGGGUGAGGCGAA